This 719-nucleotide ribosomal RNA is filed under the name Streptomyces sp. RNAcentral's name for it is "bacterial SSU rRNA". It matches the Rfam family "Bacterial small subunit ribosomal RNA", at positions 76 to 810 of the family's 1533-position model. The record is from RNAcentral. Lineage: Bacteria; Bacillati; Actinomycetota; Actinomycetes; Kitasatosporales; Streptomycetaceae.
CCCUUCGGGGUGGAUUAGUGGCGAACGGGUGAGUAACACGUGGGCAAUCUGCCCUUCACUCUGGGACAAGCCCUGGAAACGGGGUCUAAUACCGGAUACGACGCGCUCGGGCAUCCGAUGUGCGUGGAAAGCUCCGGCGGUGAAGGAUGAGCCCGCGGCCUAUCAGCUUGUUGGUGAGGUAACGGCUCACCAAGGCGACGACGGGUAGCCGGCCUGAGAGGGCGACCGGCCACACUGGGACUGAGACACGGCCCAGACUCCUACGGGAGGCAGCAGUGGGGAAUAUUGCACAAUGGGCGAAAGCCUGAUGCAGCGACGCCGCGUGAGGGAUGACGGCCUUCGGGUUGUAAACCUCUUUCAGCAGGGAAGAAGCGAAAGUGACGGUACCUGCAGAAGAAGCGCCGGCUAACUACGUGCCAGCAGCCGCGGUAAUACGUAGGGCGCGAGCGUUGUCCGGAAUUAUUGGGCGUAAAGAGCUCGUAGGCGGUCUGUCGCGUCGGAUGUGAAAGCCCGGGGCUUAACCCCGGGUCUGCAUUCGAUACGGGCAGACUAGAGUGUGGUAGGGGAGAUCGGAAUUCCUGGUGUAGCGGUGAAAUGCGCAGAUAUCAGGAGGAACACCGGUGGCGAAGGCGGAUCUCUGGGCCAUUACUGACGCUGAGGAGCGAAAGCGUGGGGAGCGAACAGGAUUAGAUACCCUGGUAGUCCACGCCGUAAACGGU